RNAcentral lists this long non-coding RNA (1210 nucleotides) under Pan troglodytes (chimpanzee). Its description in RNAcentral is "lincRNA". The record is from RNAcentral. Lineage: Eukaryota; Metazoa; Chordata; Mammalia; Primates; Hominidae.
GCUAAACUGAGGGAUGGGCAGAGAAGGGCAAACUGUAACUACAGUUGAUUUUAGCUCAUGUUUAAAUACAGGAUAUACUCUGUUUUCCUUCUGUACAGGAGAGGGAACUCUUCACAGAUGGGAAGCAUUUCCUGUGAGCCUGUAAUUGUGUAAGCUGGGAGUAAAGAGGAUGCCCAGGUACACAUUUUUGGCUAUGUUUUUGCUGGUGGUGAUCAUGGAGGUGGCUUUUGUUUUUUUCAGCCAUAAGGCUAGUAAGAAUUUUUUCUCCUAAUUAAAGUAAAGCUGGAGGCAUCAUGCUACCUGACUUCAAACUAUACUACAAGGCUACAGUAACCAAAACAGCAUGGUACUGGUACCAAAACAGAGAUAUAGAUCAAUGGAACAGAACAGAGCCCUCAGAAAUAACGCCGCAUAUCUACAACUAUCUGAUCUUUGACAAACCUGACAAAAACAAGAAAUGGGGAAAGGAUUCCCUAUUUAAUAAAUGGUGCUGGGAAAACUGGCUAGCCAUAUGUAGAAAGCUGAAACUGGAUCCCUUCCUUACACCUUAUACAAAAAUUAAUUCAAGAUGGAUUAAAGACUUAAACGUUAGACCUAAAACCAUAAAAACCCUAGAAGAAAACCUAGGCAUUACCAUUCAGGACAUAGGCAUGGGCAAGGACUUCAUGUCUAAAACACCAAAAGCGAUGGCAACAAAAGCCAAAAUUGACAAAUGGGAUCUAAUUAAACUAAAGAGCUUCUGCACAGCAAAAGAAACUACCAUCAGAGUGAACAGGCAACCUACAAAAUGGGAGAAAAUUUUUGCAACCUACUCAUCUGACAAAGGGCUAAUAGCCAGAAUCUACAAUGAAUUCAAACAAAUUUACAAGAAAAAAACAAACAACCCCAUCAAAAAGUGGGCGAAAGACAUGAACAGACACUUCUCAAAAGAAGACAUUUAUGCAGCCAAAAAACAUGAAAAAAUGCUCACCAUCACUGGCCAUCAGAGAAAUGCAAAUCAAAACCACAAUGAGAUACCAUCUCACACCAGUUAGAAUGGCAAUCAUUAAAAAGUCAGGAAACUACAGGCGCUGGAGAGGAUGUGGAGAAAUAGGAACACUUUUACACUGUUGGUGGGACUGUAAACUAGUUCAACCAUUGUGGAAGUCAGUGUGGCGAUUCCUCAGUGAUCUAGAAUAGAAAUACCAUUUGACCCAGCCAUCCCAUUACU